RNAcentral lists this ribosomal RNA (429 nucleotides) under Bacteroidota bacterium. RNAcentral describes it as "Bacteroidetes bacterium partial 16S ribosomal RNA". It matches the Rfam family "Bacterial small subunit ribosomal RNA", at positions 355 to 776 of the family's 1533-position model. The record is from RNAcentral. Lineage: Bacteria; Pseudomonadati; Bacteroidota.
UAGGGAAUCUUCGGCAAUGGGGGGAACCCUGACCGAGCAACGCCGCGUGAGUGAAGAAGGUUUUCGGAUCGUAAAGCUCUGUUGUUAAGGAAGAACGAGUGUGAGAAUGGAAAGUUCAUGCUGUGACGGUACUUAACCGGAAAGGGACGGCUAACUACGUGCCAGCAGCCGCGGUAAUACGUAGGUCCCGAGCGUUGUCCGGAUUUAUUGGGCGUAAAGCGAGCGCAGGCGGUUAGAAAAGUCUGAAGUGAAAGGCAGUGGCUCAACCAUUGUAGGCUUUGGAAACUGUUUGACUUGAGUGCAGAAGGGGAGAGUGGAAUUCCAUGUGUAGCGGUGAAAUGCGUAGAUAUAUGGAGGAACACCGGUGGCGAAAGCGGCUCUCUGGUCUGUAACUGACGCUGAGGCUCGAAAGCGUGGGGAGCGAACAGG